GGGCGGCGUGAGAGCCUCGGGGCGGGGGCGGGGCCUGGCGCGUCCGCCGAGCGCGGGGGUUUGUUUAUUUUCCCGGUUGGUAGCGGCGCUGGCGCUGGUUAGAGGUUCGCCGGUGACGUGAGCGCCCGAGUUGGGGGAGAGGACCAGAACCACCUGCUGGAGAAAGGGAGCUACGGGGGCCGGGCAGGGUCCAAACGCCUCACGUGGGCGGCGGCGCCACGGUCUUCGGGGUCACAGGGAAGAGAAGGGCUCUCCUCAAGCGGGUGGAAGGAGGGAGGCCUCCCGAGGGAAUGAGACUCCAGGCCACUCCCCCGCAGCAAGGCAGGAUCACCUGCGUCGCGGAGAGCAGUUAGAGGUCCCUGGAGUGGAAAAGGGCAGUGGGACCUGGUAGCUUGGGUUCCCUGCAACUUGGGGUUCGACCUCCAGGCAAUGAAGUAGGGAUGGUCCUGCAAGUCAAGAUUCCAGUAGCAAGAGUGCAUCAGAUCUCUGUAAGGAAAAUAACUAACAUUGCUCAGUUCCCUGUAGAGUUGCAGGGCGCUUUGACGUUAUCUCCCUUGGUUCUCCAUCAGGUCGUAGUGGACUAAUUUUACAGGCGAAGUUAAGUGACUUACCCAAAACCUCACAGCUAAUAAACGGCAGAGCCGGCACCCAGCUGUACUGGCUUCCAGCGCAUCCCAUUAUCUCCAUAAAUCCCCCUGAUUCAACUAAUAUUAGACGCCCCACAGGUAAGAUGCUUCAGAGUUAGAGGGGAGUUGAAGAUACCUUUGCCUUCAAAGAAGUAAGGAAUGAAACAAAGAUAAAACAGACAAUAAAAGACAAACCAUGAUAGGUGCCACGUGAAAAGUGGCAGAGUACUGCCGGGAAUCAAAGAACCGUGUAUAUCUGUCUUGGGGAUAAGGAAAGAAACGCAGCAUGAAGGAGUAGGCAUUUGGGAUUGACCUUGAAGGAGACAGGGAGAGUUUUACAGCAAGAAGGGAUAGCAUGAGAAUAUAUAUGAAGGCGAAUCAGUGAAAGUUGUGUUGGGGAAAGAGCAAAGACUCCAGGUAUGUUGAGAGGUAGAAAAGACAAAGGAGUAUGGGGCCUAAGAUACCAAAUGGAUGAAUUUAUAUUUAAUUCAGUAUUUUGAGUUUUUAUGGUUCAGAAGUUUGGGGGAAGAAAAGGAAGGUUUUUUUUUUCUUUAUGCUAGUGAUUUAUCUGUGAAGGGAAGCAGAAAUCAGAGGUGGAAAAACUGACAGAUCUACUGUAGGCCAGGUAAAAGGUAAUGAUGAGUCUGACCUAAAGGGACAGCCAGGGGAAUUUAAAGAGCAUAGUUGAGAGAUGAUGUGCAUGCAGAAUCUAUAGAAUUUGCUAACUGAUUGAUUAAUUGUGGGUAGGAAGAGAGAAAUCAAAGAAAGUGGAGGUUUUGAGUUUCUAGAUAAUUGCAAGAGAGAAAAGAGACAAUUACAAAGGAAAGGAGAAGGAGCUACUUCUUGAGAGAAGAUCAGUUUAGAUUUAGACAUUUUAAGAAUUCAAAGGGUUGUCAAGACAGCCAGACGGACAUGGACACUAAUAAGUUAGAAAUAAAGGUUUUGUAAUAUGGGAAAGAGGACUGAGCUAGAAAAUAGACUCAUAGAUAAUCAGCCUAGGAGUGAUAUUGCUGUGAGAUAAAAGAAGAAAACAAAGUCAGAAUCUUGGAAAACACCCUCUUCAGAGUCUCGCUGCUCAAAACGUGGUCAGUGGCCCAGCAGCACUGACAUGAGGACCUUAGUUGGAAACUCAGAAUCUCAGGCUCCACCCCAGACCUGCUGAACCAGCAUCUUCAACUUAACAAGAACCCGAAGAGAUUUGUGCCACAUCAAAAAGUUUGAGAAGCUCUGAUCUAGGUGAGCCAAGCCAGCAAAGAAAGGGGGUGGAGCAGAAAAUGGGAGGAGAAUAGGGUAAUGCAGAAUCAUCAAGACAAGGUAAAUUGGACUUUCACAAAAACGGGGCUGGAAGGAGUGUUGCUCAACAAUAUCCAAAACCACAGAGGUUGAAAAGCACAAGGAAAGAAGGUAUGUUUGCACUUUGUGAUUAGGUAGUAGGGUCUUUAAGACCACAUUGUUCUCAUUGAAAGCCUGGGAAGAAAGAUCCCCUUUCUGGUCAAGGUUAGUCUAGGGAUCCAUCCCCUCUUCCCCAGUUCCCACGUAUAUGGGACAUGUCGAGAUAAGUAGAUAGAUUGGACAGUGGGAGAAAGUAGUUCUCUUCCAGUUGCUUCUAUUUUCUCAGCAAAGUGAGGAACAAGAUCAUUUUGGCAGACUGCUAAUUGUCCAUCAUAAUUUAGUCUCCCCUUCUCCCUGAAAACACAGACUGCUUUUCUCAGCCUCUCUUUCAGUUGCAUAUGGUCAAGUAUUAAGUUAUAGAACAUGAGCAGAUGUUAUGUCUGCCACUGUCAGGCCAAGGCGUUUACUUUGAGAGUACUUGUGCCUCUUUCAUACAUUUUCCUUUCUGCCAGCUGGACCCUGGACACGGUGACUCUGAUUCAAUUAUGCAGAUGACCACAAGCCUCUGGGGUUGGCAGAGCCACAAGAAAGAAGGUGCCUGGAUGAAGGAGAGCUACCCACUGACCUGGACACCCAAUUAUGUCAUAGGUGCUGCAAUCUAGAGACAAAAUAUUCCUUACACUGCCAGAUACUUGCAAACUAAGGGGAACGAGCUUCCCUCUGAAUGUUUAUGAAGGAGAGACCACUGUGAGGAUAGACAGUGAAGUGCAACUACAGCCCGCAAAUGAAAAUGAAUAAAAUUAAUCCAGCCCCUCAAGGCAGUCAUCUGUCUUAGAGCUAUUGGAAUCCUGGAUCAUUGUGGGAAAUGAAAAGAACUGGUUUUUAGCAAGGAGACCAAGAAACUCUACUCCCUAGGGGCUAGCAAUGAGAGAAAGGAAGCCUUGAGUCUUUGAGCACAGGGUGACAGUUUGGGUCCUAUGUGAGAUGAUCAAAUCCACAGCAACAGAGGAAAGGACAAAAGGAAAAGAUACUUCGAUGGAAUCAGCAGCCAUUGAUCCAAUGCCAACUCCAAGACUGGAACGUCGCAAUGAUAGUUCCAAGGCGGAAAUUUGACGUAAUUCUUUUCGACACAGUUUUACAGGCAUCUUGCAUGUGAAUAACUCACAACUUUAAUUCAUGGAACAAAUUGAGAAAUAGUCUUUUGGGGGUUUGGUACUCCCUGGAAACAUAAGAGUGCUUUGGGCACCUCUGGUGCCUUUCCAUGCCUGCCUUCUCUGCUGUUCUUGCUACUAGUGAAUUCUAAAUCAUGGCCAAGUGAUGCCAGCACUGGAUAAUAUUGGCUCUGCCCCAUAUCUCGAGGGAAAACUCUGGGACUUGGCAUUAUAUGUGUGGGAAUCUGGCCUUGGUUGGCACUCCCAGCAUGAUAGCAGGGUUCUGCUGUCUGAAUGUACUCUGGGGUGUGCGCCACAAUUUCUGUCAUCGAAAUGGAGAUGAGAGAAUAUGCCCUUGGUGGGGACACCCCACUGGAAUUAGAGUGAAGAGAUCAAAGCUAGAGGUUCUUAAAUCAAAGAAUGUCUAAUAGCAAAGACAAAAACUUGCUUAAGAGAAAUGCAUACAGGUACUAGACCUAAUAUGAUGAAAAAUGCUAACUUCAACAUAUUGAUGCAUGCUUAGUAUACUUUUAGUCCUGCAAAGACAAAA
RNAcentral lists this long non-coding RNA (3659 nucleotides) under Homo sapiens (human). Its description in RNAcentral is "HSALNT0353307". Lineage: Eukaryota; Metazoa; Chordata; Mammalia; Primates; Hominidae. The record is from RNAcentral.